Long non-coding RNA from Oncorhynchus nerka (sockeye salmon), 426 nucleotides. RefSeq lists it as uncharacterized. The transcript is spliced from 5 exons. Lineage: Eukaryota; Metazoa; Chordata; Actinopteri; Salmoniformes; Salmonidae. The record is from RefSeq and is a predicted model, not a curated record.
AUGCGCGUGGUGUAGAACACGGAAUAUGGCGGCCUGCAUCUGAUGGCAAAUGAAGGAUCUGACGCGAAUACCUUCUCGAAACUGUAACCACAUCGGAACUACAUCUACGUUACUAAGUCUUUGGCCGUGCUGUGUUCUUACCGUGGAGCUCAGCACCGCGUCGGUAGUGGCACAUUGACCAGUCUGUGGUCUCCUCACCUGGCACCUGGUGGUACCAUCGGUCACAAUGGGCCGAACACUUCAGAAAGAGCCAAAAGAAGAGAGGAGGGAGAAACCUGAGAGAAGUAACCCCUCUCCGGGAACCGGCCCCCCCUCUCUGGAUAAAUCUAAUGAACCCUUCAGUUGGGAGGAGUACCUUAAGGAAACGUCAUCCACAGCCGCUUCUCCCAGCUGUUUCAGACAGGUAGAUAUGACCCAGUAACUACA